Molecule: ribosomal RNA, 460 nt
Filed under: uncultured Bacteroides sp.
Lineage: Bacteria; Pseudomonadati; Bacteroidota; Bacteroidia; Bacteroidales; Bacteroidaceae
Description: bacterial SSU rRNA
Rfam family: Bacterial small subunit ribosomal RNA
Source: RNAcentral
UCCUACGGGAGGCAGCAGUGAGGAAUAUUGGUCAAUGGCUGAACCAGCCAAGUAGCGUGAAGGAUGACUGCCCUAUGGGAAUAAAGUGAGAAUAAGGAUCGGCUAACUCCGUGCCAGCAGCCGCGGUAAUACGGAGGAUCCGAGCGUUAUCCGGAUUUAUUGGGUUUAAAGGGAGCGUAGUAAGUCAGUUGUGAAAGUUUGCGGCUCAACCGUAAAAUUGCAGUUGAUACUAGGUAGGCGGAAUUCGUGGUGUAGCGGUGAAAUGCUUAGAUAUCACGAAGAACUCCAUUGCGAAGGCAGCUUACCGAAAGUGUGGGUAUCAAACAGGAUUAGAUACCCUGGUAGUCCACACAGUAAACGAUGAAUACUCGCUGUUUGCGAUAUACGCGGCCAAGCGAAAGCAUUAAGUAUUCCACCUGGGGAGUACGCCGGCAACGGUGAAACUCAAAGGAAUUGACGG